Molecule: ribosomal RNA, 380 nt
Filed under: uncultured eukaryote
Lineage: Eukaryota
Description: SSU rRNA
Rfam family: Eukaryotic small subunit ribosomal RNA
Source: RNAcentral
AGCUCCAAUAGCGUAUAUUAAAGUUGCUGCGUUUAAAAAGCUCGUAGUUGGAUCUCAGUCUCGAUCGAGCGGUCCGUCUUUCGACGGCACUGCGCGAAUCGGACAUUCCGCCGCAUCCCGCCUCAUGCUCUUCAUUGAGUGUGGGGUGAGAGUGGUACGUUUACUUUGAAAAAAUUAGAGUGCUUAAAGCAGGCCACUGCCUGAAUAGUCGUGCAUGGAAUGAUGGAAUAGGGCCUCGGUUCUAUUUUGUUGGUUUCCGGAACUCGAGGUAAUGAUUAAUAGGGACGGACGGGGGCAUUUGUAUUGCGACGUUAGAGGUGAAAUUCUUAGAUCGUCGCAAGACAAACUACUGCGAAAGCAUUUGCCAAGAAUGUUUUCAU